AGGAGUUUACCGUGUGCGUGUNCAGGAGCUGUCUUCUAUAAAGAACAAGGUCGGUAACCCCAGAAUAUCCCCAAACACAAAGAGGAGAACUCCGGGGCUUUCAAAAGAGAUUCCACCAGGGUUAAUUUGAAAUUAAAUGUAAGCUGAAGAUCUCGGGAUCUUUUCUUCCCCUUCUCUCUUGCUGCCCCCUCCCGCUUGGCCUGGUCUUCCAGGGAACCUGGUUUCUGUCUCAGCUGCUGCCGCCAGAAAGUCAGAAUUCAAAGGUGCCCUCUUGGGUUUGAGAACCUGGAGAGUUUGGUCUCUCAUUGGAGUGUGUGUGGAGGCACCCCACGGGCCCUCACAAUAGGAAAUAAUAAUAGUUGCUGAUAAUUAAGCCACCUCCUCAGAGCAGUCCCCUCCAAUCACCUUUGUCAAAGGAGAUAUUCAGUUCUUUGUGUCACACCACUUCAUUUGUGUUCUCUGCAGAGGCCUUGGGACUUUUUGGAUAGUUUUCUAACUGUUCGUCUGUCUGCCCUUCCUCUGGAAUACGAACGCUGUGAAUCUCCCCUUCAGGCUCUGGCUUCCAGCAGGUCUCCAUACCCUGUGUGUCCCAGCUCCACCUUCACGUGUGUUAUUUAAUGCUUGAACCACCCUGGGAGUGGACACUUAUCAUUCCGUGUUCCCACUUAGAGAUGAGCAGACUGCGGUACCGAGGGAUUAAGCUGAUGGCUUGGGGUCCCCCCCCCACCCCCCACAGCGGCAGAGCUGGAGCUGGGAUUUAAUGGCGAGCACAGCCCUGCUGAGCAGCCCCUUCCCAGGGGCUGUUGGUGGCAGGAAGGCUCUUCUGGCCAACUGUAACUGCACAGCGUGCUGCAGCCCAAAGGGUGGCACACUUCUCUGUGCGAACCUGUCUGCACACCUUGGAAGGCUGUGGAGUUUCUGUCAGUGUGUUGCAAUUCGCUGUGAAGGGCUGGGGUGACUCACACUGGCUGGGCCUGGAGGGGGCUGGAAUUCUACGUGGCAUGUCUGUGCUCUCUAGGCUUAGAGAUUUAUUUAUUUAUUAUUUUUAUUUUUUUUGCAGUACUGGGAAUUGAACCUAGGGGCACUCUACCACUAACCUAUAUCUCCAGCCCUUUAUGUUUUAAUUUAAGACAGGGUCUCAUCAAGUUGCCCACGCUACCCUCCAACUUGUGGUCUUUUCAAGUGGCUGGAUUAUAGUUGUGUGCCACUGUACCCGGCUCACUGAACUUUUUAAUUGAUGAAUGUCUAUAGAACUGGCGACUGAAGCCAAGGGCACUGUGUCUCUGAGCUAAAUCCCAGCCCUAUUUAUUGAGACAGGGUCUUGCUGAGUUGUCCAGACUGACCACGAACAUGUGCUCUUCCUGCCUUGGCCUCCUGAGUUGCCGGGAUCACGGGUAUGUACAACACCUGGCUUCACUGGGCUUUUAAAAACAGGUUCUCUCUCCCUCUCUUUGGGUCCUGCCUCUUUGGUCACCCAAGCCCAUUUCUGGAAAUGUGCAAAGGCCCGAGUCAUGGAGAGAAUUUCUCUGCCUCCACACAUUGGAAGGCUCCAGGUGGUCCCCUGGGAAGGAUGGAGGAACAAGGGAUCCCUCCAUCCUACCCAGGGUCUGGAGUAGGCAGGGACACCAUGAAUCAGUUUGCAAUGUUAGAGGACCCCUCAAAGAGCAGUGACAACUCCCUGUUAGGAGGCAAGACUGUUCCAGGCCUUCAUUCCACAACUCAGAGACCAAGGUUUUAAAGAGACAUGGCCCAGGUGUUGCUGCAGCCCACCCGGCUCCUGGGUAGCAUGAUUUUGGCCUAGGACUGGGUGAGGCUGACCCUUCUUUCCCUUUCUGGGAUAACCCAGUUCUUGGGUUCUCUCUGUCGAGAUUAAAAACAGAGACCAACCAAUCAUAUGUAAUAUAGCGAUUAUAUUCACAAUAACAGUAAAUAAUGAUGGCUGCUGGUUAGUGUUUGUGUUUUGCAAGCACUGUGUUAAGAAUUACUUGUGUUAUGGGAUGGCUCUAAGACUGAUGAAAUUCUAAAUCCCAGCUCAGCCAGGCACAGUGGUGCACACCUGGAAUCCCAGCAACUCUGGAGGCUGACACAGGAGGAUCACAAGCUCAGGCCAGCCUCAGAAACUUAGUGAGACCCUGUCUCAAAAAAAAAAAGGACUAGGGGUGAGGCUCAGUGGUAAAAAUGCUGCUGGGUUCAAUCCCCAGUACCAAAACCAAACAAUCAGAUCUCAGCCAGGCCUUUUACUUGCUCCAUGAUGUUGGGCAGAUGACUUAAGCUCUGAGGCUCAGUUUCCUCACCUGUAAAUGGUUAUAAAAAUAACAUCCAGCCCCUGUCAGGCUAUUGUGAGUGCUCAGUGAGGUAAUGCACGAGAAGCACAUUGUGCAGUCCCUGGCGCUCAGUUGUUAGAAAAGCCUUUCUUCCUCCCUCUUUUAAUCUUCAUUUGAACCUAAUGAAGAAGAUGACAGCCUACUUUAUAGAUGAAGAAACUGAGGCUUCUGCUGGUUAAUUGAUUUGCCGAAAGUCAGAAGCUAAUAAGUGAAGGAAUUGAGAUUUGAAUUCACCUGACCCCAUUCUGGUAGAACUGGACUAAGUUAGGGUUCUGAAUUCAAGUUCUCCCUGACCUCUGGCCUCUUUAUUCUGAGUAAUCCCCUCCUCUCAGAGCCCCAGUUUCCAUCCUAUAAAGCCAGAUUAGUGAGUCACAAUAAGGAUGGAUUUAAUAUCAGAAGCACCUGAGUUUUCUUUCCAGAUGACUUCUGCUCCUUCUCAGAUGUUAUGCGCUAUCCUGUUGGAGGAUGGCACAGCCCUCAUCCCUCCCCCUCCUUUGCGAGAUUAUGACUGCCCUGAGUCAACAGGCUCUGGAAGAACGCGACACUCCCUGUGGUGUGUUGGAGGGGAGUGAGCUUCAGACACUGAGCAGUAAGCUGAGAGCCAGGCUGCUCUGUGUCUUUGCAGAGUGUACCACACCAGCAUGGGGCCUUUAUUCCACACGGUGGCCCUGCUUAGAGCCCUUCCUUUUCUAACACUUAACACUUGAUUAUCUGAAACUUUUAAUGAAAAUCUAGUGGCCUGUUGAAAUGACAUAUACCUAGCCAGGAAUGGUGGCACAUUGUAAUCCUAGCAUCUUGGGAGGCUGAGGCAGGAGGAUCC
Molecule: long non-coding RNA, 3144 nt
Filed under: Marmota monax (woodchuck)
Lineage: Eukaryota; Metazoa; Chordata; Mammalia; Rodentia; Sciuridae
Source: RNAcentral